AUUGAACGCUGGCGGCAGGCCUAACACAUGCCAGUCGAGCGGAUGAAGGGAGCUUGCUCCUGGAUUCAGCGGCGGACGGGUGAGUAAUGCCUAGGAAUCUGCCUGGUAGUGGGGGAUAACGUCCGGAAACGGGCGCUAAUACCGCAUACGUCCUGAGGGAGAAAGUGGGGGAUCUUCGGACCUCACGCUAUCAGAUGAGCCUAGGUCGGAUUAGCUAGUUGGUGGGGUAAAGGCCUACCAAGGCGACGAUCCGUAACUGGUCUGAGAGGAUGAUCAGUCACACUGGAACUGGAGCACCGUCCCGACUCCUAAGGGAGGCAGCAGUGGGGAAUAUUGGACAAUGGGCGAAAGCCUGAUCCAGCCAUGCCGCGUGUGUGAAGAAGGUCUUCGGAUUGUAAAGCACUUUAAGUUGGGAGGAAGGGCAGUAAGUUAAUACCUUGCUGUUUUGACGUUACCAACAGAAUAAGCACCGGCUAACUUCGUG
RNAcentral lists this ribosomal RNA (484 nucleotides) under uncultured bacterium. RNAcentral's name for it is "partial 16S ribosomal RNA". It matches the Rfam family "Bacterial small subunit ribosomal RNA", at positions 30 to 507 of the family's 1533-position model. The record is from RNAcentral.